This 234-nucleotide long non-coding RNA is filed under the name Olea europaea (common olive). RNAcentral describes it as "long non-coding RNA (OEUR_LNC007515)". Lineage: Eukaryota; Viridiplantae; Streptophyta; Magnoliopsida; Lamiales; Oleaceae. The record is from RNAcentral.
AACGAUCAAGCAGUUUUUAGGCGGUUGAUCACAAAGAGAUCAUCCAAGGAGUAUAAAAGGGAGAAAAGACAUAGAGCAAAGGACCGAAUCAAAAACUCUCGAACAGAGAACAUGUAAUUUUAAAUUCCUUAGUUUAGAUUUAAACACUUCUUUCAGUAACUCGUGUGCUUGCGCCCCUUGGAGGCAUUCUGUUUUUAAUUUCCAAUUGUAAAGUCAUCGCCAAUAAAAGAACAC